CUUUGUUUAAGCAUUCUGCUGAUUAACGAAAUUGUUUUGUUGGAGUCAUUUGCCGGUCGGACUAGGUAUCCAUCUGUCUUUCUUUGUUCAAGAAUCAGUGUAACUCCAAUAAGAAAUUUAUAGGGUAAUUCACCUUACGAAGACAGCAACAACCGGAUACUUCCGACAUACCAACUACUGCUUAGAAACACCAGAUCAAAUAAACCUAAGCUGAGCUAUGAUAUUGUGCUUAAAUACCAAGUCUGACUUCAGUUGACUAAUGUUUGGUUGAAUUUUAUGCUUUAACAGUAGUUAUUUCUCAUAGUGCUGGUUGGAGUUUCUUAGCUUUGUUGUCAUAAUUAUUUCUUACAGGAAAUUUAGGUUGUAGAACUCGAGCUUUUAUAUAAUUAAAGAGGAAGAAUAGAGAUUGGAGAAAAAAACAAAGAAAAUAACAAAAUAAAGGCCAACAAGGAGAAUGGAGGAAUCUAUAGAAACAAUUCUUCUCCACCUACUGCAGAGAUUGUUGAGAAGAAGAACCGAAGUUCGUUGAGACAAAUAGGUUAAAACUUUCAUCCAAGUUAUAAACCAAAUCACCAAAUUCAGCAAUGGAGGACGGAGAACUUAAUUUCUCAACCCAUGAAAUGUUUCAAGCUGCAAACAUCAAUUUUGAUAGAUAGGGGUGCAAGUUUAAGCGUUGAAAAUGCUAAUGGCCGGUGGUGAAAAUAUUCUAAAGGUUACACCUCGAGAGUAUAACCGGCUAUCUCCUCCAAGAAUGACCUCCGAUGAUGUCACAACUUUCUCUACAUUCUACCCCUAAAUAUGAGAAUAGAAAAUGGGCUACAUGCAAAAAAUAGUGCUCUACUUUUUUUUUUCUCUUUAUAGCUUAUUUUUCUCAUUAUAACAUUGUACUUUUGGUUUUUCUUAUUAUUUAAUUCUUUACCAAAACACAAACUACAUUUCUAUUUGUUGCGUUUUUUUCAUAUUUAGAUGGUAAAUACACUAAAUAGCAAUGUACUACUCAUUUAAAUGUUUUUGUUUAUGUUUUUUUGUUCAAUUUCUUAUUAUUUAUAUUUUUACCCAAAACCAUAUCACAUUUCCAUUGGGUUCAUGUGAAGUACAAAGAAAGAUUGUCGGGCAAAUCUAUACGUGUGGAACCGAAUCAUGAAGAGUUGAACCGGAUUCAUCCAAAUGCCCUUCAUUCGGCUAAUGGCAAGUGGGUUUUUGGUAGGUGGUGGAUUUUGGCAUAUUUUAAAACAAAAUACUAAAAUAGCAUUAUAACAUCCUACUUUCGUCACCCGCCAAACAUCAACAAAAUAUUCGACCCGUGUGUUCAGUAAAUUUGUUUGUUCUGAACCCCGCAGAGCGGGGUUUCCCACCUAGUUUAAUCUUAUUAUUAUCCUAGAAUUUAAAAUUAAU
Non-coding RNA from Lactuca sativa (garden lettuce), 1395 nucleotides. The record is from RefSeq and is a predicted model, not a curated record. NCBI's taxonomy places the organism in Eukaryota, Viridiplantae, Streptophyta, Magnoliopsida, Asterales, Asteraceae.